Long non-coding RNA from Gallus gallus (chicken), 976 nucleotides. The record is from Ensembl. NCBI's taxonomy places the organism in Eukaryota, Metazoa, Chordata, Aves, Galliformes, Phasianidae.
CAAAGUUGAAAGAGUUGAAAUCUUUAGCCCCACCUUAUGCUUAAAAGAAAACUUAUCGUCCAGCUUGACAGACUUAAUCACCAAGAGAGACUGAUAAGUAAAGGCUUGGAAUAUAAACAUGGAAAAGACUACACAGUUCUACAGAAAUUCCUGAAAUAAGAAAGUGGUCAAGCACUGGAGCAAGUUUCACAGCAAGUCUGUGGGAUGUCAGUCUUUGGAGAUACUCAAAACCUUGACUGAGCGUGUUCCUGAACAACCUUGCUGUAGCUGACCCUGUUUGCGCAGGACAAUGGAGUAGGCCAUUUUCCAGCCCCAACCACACUGUGCUUCAGCCUUUUGGGGAUCCACUGAGACUAGUUCUCUGUGUUCUCCAGUUUUAGCACAGAGUAUAUUAAACACAGAGAUAUGAAGCUAAGAAAACACAGUAAAUGUUAUCUUCUGUAUUUAAAAUAGGUUCAAGAAAAGAAAUUCAAGAUCCAAGGACUGCUUGUGAAGAAUUCUGACAGACAUGAUAUUUGUUACUGAGAGCAAUUCAAAAAAGGAAGCUUCUGUGUUUUGAUGACAAACAAGGAAAUACGAACAGAAAACACUUUGACAGAAAAACAAAAAGAGAAACAACAAAAAACCAACAACUACUGGAAGUAACAUUUUAUGUGACAACAGAUCUGACUGAAAUAGAAGAAACAAAAUAAAAGAAAUUGAAUUUAUUAAGUGAUUAUACUCUACUUGAAAGAUCUUGAAGAAAUGUAGUAAAAAAGUACAAUAAAGUUUGAAAUUGAAGCCUAUAAUCAUAUUUUCACAAGUAUCUGUGUUGAAAAAAUAUAAAGUUUAUAGUAUCUAUAUUUAUUUAUUUGUUUAUUUAUUUUUGCUUUGGAAUGAAAACAGAAUUAAAAAUGUUUCCACUGUCCAAUGUCUAUUAUCUUUAUUUCAGCUAUGAAUUAAAAAUAUUUUAAAACAACAUAGAAUUAAUCUGGAU